This 425-nucleotide ribosomal RNA is filed under the name uncultured bacterium. RNAcentral describes it as "partial 16S ribosomal RNA". It matches the Rfam family "Bacterial small subunit ribosomal RNA", at positions 354 to 796 of the family's 1533-position model. The record is from RNAcentral.
GUGGGGAAUCUUGCGCAAUGGGCGAAAGCCUGACGCAGCCAUGCCGCGUGAAUGAUGAAGGUCUUAGGAUUGUAAAAUUCUUUCACCGGGGACGAUAAUGACGGUAUCCGGAGAAGAAGCUCCGGCUAACUUCGUGCCAGCAGCCGCGGUAAUACGAAGGGGGCUAGCGUUGCUCGGAAUUACUGGGCGUAAAGGGCGCGUAGGCGGACAGCUUAGUCAGAGGUGAAAGCCCAGGGCUCAACCUUGGAAUUGCCUUCGAUACUGGCUGUCUUGAGUUUGGGAGAGGUGAGUGGAACUCCGAGUGUAGAGGUGAAAUUCGUAGAUAUUCGGAAGAACACCAGUGGCGAAGGCGACUCACUGGCCCAAUACUGACGCUGAGGCGCGAAAGCGUGGGGAGCAAACAGGAUUAGAAACCCCAGUAGUCC